This is a long non-coding RNA of Mizuhopecten yessoensis (Yesso scallop), 3604 nucleotides long. RefSeq lists it as uncharacterized. NCBI's taxonomy places the organism in Eukaryota, Metazoa, Mollusca, Bivalvia, Pectinida, Pectinidae. The record is from RefSeq and is a predicted model, not a curated record. The transcript has 2 exons.
UGACCACAGUAUCAUGAUAUGUAUCGUAUCGUGACCACAGUAUCUUGAUACGUAUCGUACAUGUUACAUGUUACAGUAUGGUUGCAGACCUAGCUAGUAUAUACAUUCUUCAGUGUUCUCAUUCAGUGUAACAAAAUGCCUAAAUAAUCCAUCAAAUCUCAUUCAAAAGAAGGUCACCAUGGUUAAGAAAGAGAAUCUUUUUCUAAUUUCACAUAACACACAUCUGCUUUGUAGUUAGUUUGCAUUUUCUUAAGUGACGUCAUAGAGGGAAAGAGUAAGCAAGAAAUUGAAAAGGAAUUGAAUCAAAAUUCAUGACAUACUUUGCUCUUUGGCUUGCUCAUGUGUGAACCUAUCAUGCUUGAUGAUGUGCUUUUUUUCUCAUGAUGUUAAAUUGAAAAGAAAUAAAAAAAAAAGAAUUGAUAAGACGAAAUAUUUUGCCUUCUGACUUGGUGGUUUUGUCCGAAAGAUGAUUUUCUGUUUGCUAUUUGAUCGAUGUGUUUUGAUUGUUUUGAGAACUUGAAAAGUGAAAAAAGAUUUCAUGGAUGACAGACUUUUAAGGACCGGUUCGUUUAUGAACAGGACUUGAUGAAAUAUUUUGAUCUGUACAAUUUCAUUGUUUGUGACAAGACCUAAUUCAAGGCAAAUUUGUAAUUUGUCAUUGACAUUAUAAUGAAACAAACAAGUUUAGGAAAGUUUUAAUUAAUAUAAUAAACAACAAAAUUACAAACAAUAGGUUGUGAUUUACUGUCGAGAAGAGUCAGAAACACAAAUCAAUUUGGUUACAAAUUACAGUCAGUAUCUUACCAGUGAUAAACUCGGGAGGACUGAACAAACAAAUGGGUCGAAAGUAAGGGAUGGGUAGUAAGUAGUCCAAUAUAUCCCUCGGAUAAAUUAGAAAUAUUUUCUUAAUAAACAUGGUAAUUUGAAAACAAAUAUUUUGAAAAAUCAAUAAAUGUAUUUAAAAAGGUAAAAGCUAUUUAUGUAAAAGAUUUUCUGACAUCUAAAUUUCAUUGCAAAUUAUAUUUUCUGAAAUAGUAAUUUGAUUCGGUUUUUUGGCACGCCAUUCAAACAAAACAAUCUAUUUUUAUAGAUUUAAAAGUUAAAACCUUAAAAAGCUUUUAGAUUGCUUCAUGAUUCUGUGAGUCUGAAUGUGUGACAUGGGGUUUCCAAUGGCCAGAAGAUGGAGACGAGAAAUGCCUGUUGACGACUUCCACCUGUUGACGACUUCACCUGUUGACGACAUGCACACACCUGGCGGUGUAUAGACAGACAGGUGAACGCGAAGCCCAGUACAGCAGACAGGUGACAUCAGAACAUGUAUCGCUCAUACAACCUCAGUCAUUAUCCGCUAACAACAUUGGUUGUUAAAUGACUACCAAAAUAUUUUGGUGACUUUCUUGUGCAUGACGACUAUUUAUGUAUUUUCAAAUCAUUUUUUCAGUAGGUUAUUGUAAUGCAGGAUAGUAUUGAUAUAAAUUAUCAUUCCAGUGUUAUUUCUAUUCAAAGAAAAUAUUAAUAUCUUAAUUAUUGAAAUGAAGUUUGAAUGAAUUUCUAUCAAGAAGAAAGUAAGUCUGAUUUUAAUUCAAAUUAAAAUCAAAUUGAAAGAAAAAUUGGAUUUCUGAAAAAUGCUUCAGUAUUCUUUUGAUCUGAUUUGGUUAUUGAGAGAGUGUAUAAAAAAUACCAAAAAUUCUCAAAUUUCAUAUUUAGGUCCCACUUGGAAAUUGGCAGGAUAAAUAAUUUUAAAAAUGCCUUUUCCUGCUUCCAUUUCUAUCAUGAUUAUGCACAAUUAUUAAGGUUUUCCUUUUGGUAUUGAUGUUUUCAGCUUAUCAUUAGUAAAGAUUAUUCUUCAAAUUGUCGCUAUUUAGUACAUGGAUUUGGAAAUUUAAUUUAAUAUAAUGUUAAAAUGAAUAUUUAAAAAAAAGAGACAAAAUCCUUGUAAAGAAAGACACUGAUUGUUUUCUUACAUAUUUUAGGGAACCACAGACUUCAAGAAAAAAAGAAUUGAUAGCCAUGAAAACAUGGUGAUCUUACUUCUUGAAGGAUGGCAUUCCCAUGGUAACUCAGUGGUUGAAUGAUGACGUUCCCAUGGUAACUCAGUGGUUGAAGGAUGUUCCCAUGGUAACUUGGUGGUUGAAGGAUGUUCCGAUGGUAACUUGGUGGUUUCAUUGCUGACUGAGUGAUUGAAGGAUGACAUUGCCAUGGUAACCUGGUGGUUGAAGGAUGUUCCCAAUGGUAACUUGGUGGUUGAAGGAUGUUCCCAUGGUAACUUGGUGGUUGAAGGAUGUUCCGAUGGUAACUUGGUGGUUUCACUGCUGAUUGAGUGAUUGAAGGAUGACAUUGCCAUGGUAACUCAAUGGUUGAAGGAUGUUCCCAUGGUAACUUGGUGGUUUCACGGCUGACUCAGUGAUUGAAGGAUGACAUUCCCAUGGUAACUUGGUGGUUUCACGGCUGACUCAGUAAUUCAAGGAUGAUGUUCCCAUGGUAACUUGGUGGUUUCACGGCUGACUCAGUGAUUAAAGGAAGAUGUUCCCAUGGUAACUUGGUGGUUUCACAGCUGACUCAGUGAUUGAAGGAUGACGUUCCCAUGGUAACUUGGUGGUUUCACGGCUGACUCAGUGAUUGAAGGAUGAUGUUCCCAUCGCAACUUGGCGGUUUCACGGCUGACUCAGUGAUUGAAGGAUGAUGUUCCCAUGGUAACUUGGUGGUUUCACGGCUGACUCCGUGAUUGAAGGAUGAUGUUUCCAUGGAGUUGCUAUGGUGUUGAUCAUCAAAGAAGCUGCAUGUCAUCAAUGCUGAUGUAUUCACAGACUACAAAAUGAGGAAAAGUAACAACGAUGCCUCUCACUACCAGGAUUGUGCUGUCAACUUGAUUGUGAAAUCAAGUCCAUGUGAAAAUUUAGGACUAGCUAAAAGGUCUUAUGCUAAACCCAGCGCCAUAUUGACGGACAGUUCAAGUCUUCUCCAACACUCACACAGAUUUCUCCAGUCUGCUUGUGUUUUCAGCUUGUCACGUGUGUAGAAAAAUUAAUCCAUCAGACUUCUGAUCUCCUGAUGUAUAAUGAUCAACACAGUACAGGCCCCUGAGCUGUCUGGUUAAGUAAUAAUCAAUACAGUACAGGCACCUGUCUGGUUAAGUAAUAAUCAACACAGUAAAGGCCCCUAAGCUGUCUGGUUAAGUAAUAAUCAACACAGUACAGGCCCCUAAGCUGUCUGGUUAAGUAAUAAUCAACACAGUACAGGCCCCUCUCUGGUUAAGUAAUAAUCAAAACAGUACAGGCCCCUGUCUGGUUAAGUAAUAAUCAACACAGUACAGGCCCCUGUCUGGUUAUAAGUAAUAAUCAACACAGAACAGGCCCCUGUCUGGUUAAGUAAUAAUCAAUACAGUACAGGCCCCUGUCUGGUUAUAAGUAAUAAUCAACACAGUACAGGCCCCUGGUUGGUUAAGUAAUAAUCAACACAGUACAGGCCCCUGUCUGGUUAAGUAAUAAUCAGUACAGUACAGGCCCCUGUCUGGUUAAGUAAUAAUCAACGCAUCUUGUUAUCUUUUGUAUAGAAGUAAUGAUCAGCAUACAAUGUCACCUGUCGAAGGUACCAGAUCAUGAAA